Molecule: non-coding RNA, 392 nt
Filed under: Pan troglodytes (chimpanzee)
Lineage: Eukaryota; Metazoa; Chordata; Mammalia; Primates; Hominidae
Source: RNAcentral
AGGAUUGGGGAGCACGUUUUGCGUCUUGCUGUGCGUGAGGAAGCGGGGCUCCAGGUCAAGGCUAUGGAAAGGCAGGACUUUGAAAUGACCCUGUCCUCAGCCUGGAGGAUACGGUAUUCUGAUUGUCUGGUGCUGUGUCAACUGGGCCUGCCUCUGGGAUAGUGUUGUGGCUGCCCCACGAGAACCCUAUAUGCCAGUUCCAGAAGCAAAAACAAAAAAAGUUCGGGUACAGCGGCUCACACCUGUAAUCCCAGCUCUUAGGGAGAUGGAAACUGGAGGAUCACUUGAGGCCAGGAGUUCAAGACCAGCCUGGGCAACAUAGCAAGACCCAGUCUCUUAAAAGAAAAUUAAAAAGAAAGAGUAAAUAAAGUUCCAGAAGCUUUGCUCUCCUU